Molecule: ribosomal RNA, 319 nt
Filed under: uncultured Pseudomonas sp.
Lineage: Bacteria; Pseudomonadati; Pseudomonadota; Gammaproteobacteria; Pseudomonadales; Pseudomonadaceae
Description: bacterial SSU rRNA
Rfam family: Bacterial small subunit ribosomal RNA
Source: RNAcentral
UCGUGUCGUGAGAUGUUGGUUAAGUCCGUAACGAGCGCAACCCUUGUCCUUAGUUACCAGCACGUUAUGUGGGCACUCUAAGGAGACUGCCGGUGACAAACCGGAGGAAGUGGGGAUGACGUCAAGUCAUCAUGGCCCUUACGGCCUGGGCUACACACGUGCUACAAUGGUCGGUACAAAGGGUUGCCAAGCCGCGAGGUGGAGCUAAUCCCAUAAAACCGAUCGUAGUCCGGAUCGCAGUCUGCAACUCGACUGCGUGAAGUCGGAAUCGCUAGUAAUCGUGAAUCAGAAUGUCACGGUGAAUACGUUCCCGGGCCUU